Molecule: long non-coding RNA, 509 nt
Organism: Poecile atricapillus (Black-capped chickadee)
Lineage: Eukaryota; Metazoa; Chordata; Aves; Passeriformes; Paridae
Exons: 3
Source: RefSeq, a predicted model, not a curated record
CCCGUGUCGCCGCUCCGUGGCUCUGUCACCCUCGGGUGGCACCGGCACGGGCAGGGACCGCCCCCGGGAGGGGCGGGAGGAGCCUCGGUGUCACCAAGGGGGUGCCGGUGUCACCAAGGGGGUCCUGGUUGUCCCCCAGUGUCCCCUGGUGUCCCCCCGGUGUCCCCAGGUGUGUCCCAGUGUCCUCAUGGGUGUCCCGGUGUCCCUCAAGUGUCCCCCAGUGUCCACCGCAGGUGUCCCAGUGUCUCCCAGUGUCCCCAGGUGUGUCCCAGGUGUGUCCCAGGUGUCCCCCAGAUGUGUCCCAGGUGUCCCCCAGUGUCCCCCCGGUGUCCCCCCGGUGUCCCCUGGUGUGUCCCAGUGUCCCCCGCAGGUGUCCCAGUGUCCCCAGGUGUGUCCCAGGUGUCCCCCAGUGUCCCCCCGUGUCCCCAGGUGUGUCCCGGUGUCCCCCAGGUGUGACCCAGUGUCCCCUCGGUGUGUCCCAAUGUCCCCCAAUGUCCCCCAGGUGUGUC